Molecule: small nuclear RNA, 107 nt
Filed under: Sus scrofa (pig)
Lineage: Eukaryota; Metazoa; Chordata; Mammalia; Artiodactyla; Suidae
Source: RNAcentral
GUGCUCACUACAGCAGCACAUACGCUAAAACUGGAACCAUACAGAGAAGAUUUGCAUGGCCCCUGUUCAAGGUUGACAUGCAAAAAUAUAUAUAUAUAUAUAUAUAU